Molecule: long non-coding RNA, 6132 nt
Organism: Equus caballus (horse)
Lineage: Eukaryota; Metazoa; Chordata; Mammalia; Perissodactyla; Equidae
Source: Ensembl
GUUCUUAAAGGGGAAGAGCGCCUUAAAGGGGAAGUCUUGGAGCGUCGCCUCAGAACGCUCAAAAACAUCGCCGAUACUAAGGCUGCUUUGAGGAAAAAGCUCGAAGAAGAAUGGAGGUACCACUGAGCUUUGAGGGAGACCCGAGGGCUCAGGAUCCUGGAUUCUGCUCAUUCUGGCGCUUCCCUGGGAGCGCAUUGUGACCCAAAGCGAUUCCUCGCCCUUUCUGAGCCUCAGUUUCAGAGACAGGUCCUAGCACGGGAGUUGCGGGGCUCAAAUCCGUAGCCUUCCCCAGCCUCUACGUCUGCCUCUUUCCAGACUGCCCCUAGGGGGACAGCGGCACGGUCUGCAUGAAGACAGAGGCCUGCCCCGAAUCCCUCUGCCAUCUCUGCGUAAUGGGGAAAAUAGCACUGGAUGAUGACAAAUUCCAGAGACUAAAAUAGAGUCCAAUGCAUCCUGAGACCUCAAGCUGGUAACCUACAGGGAAGAUGCGCAGAUUUUUCACCAAAUAUCUACAGCAUAGACAGAAAAGCGAUGUGUUUGUUUGUUUGAGGGAAGACUUCUGCUUUCAAGAAGAUGCAGUAGACAUACUUUUCUUACUCUUCCCACUAAAAUACAACUAAAACCCCUGGACAUUAUAUGUAAAACAAACAUAAGAAGAUUCUAAAAGGUGGAAAAAUGAAAGCAGGGCCAGCCCUGAUGGUCCAGUGUUUAAAGUUCAGCACUUACUGUUUCAGCAUCCAAGGUUCAUUUCCCCAUCAUGGAACCACACCACCCAUCUCUCAGUUGCCAUGCUGUCGUGGUGGCCCACACAGAACUAGGACUUAUAACUAGGAUAUACAACCAAGGCACUGUAGGGCACUUUGGGGAGGAAAAAAAGAGGAAGAUUGACAACAGAUGUUAUCUCAGGGUGAAUCCUUCUCUGCAAAAAAGAAAAAAAGAAAAGAAAAGAAAAGCAGGAAGUCUAAGGACCUCAGGACCCAAGAAACAACACAGUAGUGAGUUUCAUGGGUUUUCUUUUUGUCUCAUAUAUCCAAGAAUGGGUGCUAGAAAGGUCAGCAACCCAGAAACACCAACAUGCACAGACAUAAAAAACUCCAAUAAAAUCCAGCCCUCUCUAGCCAAAAGGCCAGGAAAGGGGUAGCCUACAAAGACAGAAACUUCUAGACAAUAACUACUCUGCUCCAGCCAAACAACAAAUAAAAAACUUUGGCCCCACUUGCACCCACACUAGCAAAGGCCAAGAGGGGAUCCUAGACUUCCACCCUCGUGAGGCCCCCCAAUAAUGAGACACCCCCAUACCUACCUUGGGGUGGUGUCAGAGAAGGCCAGGUUGGGAGUCCAUCCCCACAGGCCAGUAAUGAGGUUCUCUUCCAUCCCCUGCAGUGUGAAUGGAGACCACGUCGGGUGCUGGAACUAACACACUUACUCAGCCCAGCAGGUGUCAUCAGAAGCCAAAUGGUGAACCUGGACUUCUUACCUCCACAUGGCAGUAGUGAGAUGGUACACCUUCUUUCCCUGCAGGAGUAGUGUCCAAAAAAAGCCAGUUAAAACAGAAGGCUCAGGCCAGCCUGGUGGCACAGUGGUUAAGUUUGCACGUUCUGCUUCAGUGGCCCAGGGUUCGCAAGUUCGGAUCCCGGGUGCAGACCUAUGCACUGCUUGUCAAACCAUGCUGUGGCAGGCAUACCACAUAUAAAGUAGAGGAAGAUGAGCGCAGAUGUUAGCUCAGGGCCAGUCUUCCUCAGCAAAAAGAGGAGGAUUGGCAGCAGAUGUUAGCUCAGGGCUAAUCUUCCUCAAAACAAAAACAAAACAGAAGGCUUAAAUAAGAUCCAGAAUCUAUAACAUAAUGCAAAAAUGUCCAGGUUUCAAUUUAAAAAUUCACACAUCAUAUCAAAACCAGAAAGACCUCAAACUGAAUGAAAAUGUCAACGAGUAGAUGCCAACAACAAGAUGACAGAAUUAUUUUCAGGCAGCCAUAAUAAAUAUCCUUCAACAAGCAAUUACAAACACACUUGAAACAAAUGAAAUGGAGAGAGCCUCAGCAAAGAAAUAGAAGCUAUCAAGAAGAACCAAAUGGAAAUUUUAGAACUGAAAAAUACAAUAACCAAACAAAAAGCUCAGUGGAUGAGCUCCACAGUAGAAUGCAUAGGACAGAGGAAAAAAAUCAGUGAACUAGAAGAUAGGACACUAGAAAUUAUCCAGUCUGGACAAUUGACAAAAAUUAGAGUGAAAAAAAAUUGAACAGAGCCUACAGAAUCAGUGGGACUAUAACAAAAGAUCUAACAAUUGUGUCAUCAGAGUCCCAGAAGGAGAGGAGAAAGAGGGCAGUGCUGGAAAAGUACUAAUAGAAAUAAUGGCUGAAAACUUCUCAAAUUUGGUGAGAGACAUAAUCCUACAGAUUCAAGAAGCUAAGCAAACCCCAAACAGAAUUAUCUGAAAGGAAUAUAUAGGCAUACCCCAUUUUAUUGUGCUUCACUUUAUUAUGCUUUGCAAAUACUGCAUUUUUUACGAGACCCUCCACCAGCAAAAAAGAUUAUGACUUGCUGAAAGUUCAGAUGGUGAUUAGCAUUUUUUUAGCAAUAAAGUAUUUUUAAUUAAGGUAUGUACAUUUUUUUAGACAUAUUGCUAUUGCACACUUAAUAGACUACAGUAUAGAUUAAACAUAACUUUUAUAUGCACUGGGAAACCAAAAAAUUUGUGUGACUCACUUUAUUGUGGUGGUCUGGAGUCAAACCCACAAUAUCUCUGAGGUAUGCCUGCACACCAAGGUACAUCAUAAUUAAACUUUUGAAAACUAAAGACAAAGGAAAAAUCUUGAAAGUAGCCAGAGAAAAAUACCUUACCUUACCUGUAGGGGAGAAAACAAUUCAAACUAUAGCAGAUUUCCCAUCAAAAACCAUGGAGGUCAGAAAGAAGUGGCACAAUGUUUUUCAAGUGUUCAAAGAAAAGAACUGUCAACCCAGAAUCCUAUAUUAUUAGGCUAUACUAUUAACCCUAUAAUACUAGUGUUUUUUUUUUUUGCUGCUAUGACAAAUUUAGUGGCUUAAAACAACACAAAUUUAUUAUCUUACAAUCUUAGAGGUCAGAAGCCUGAAAUGGGUCUCACUAGGCUAAAAUUGAGGUGUCAGUGGAGCUAUAUUACUUCUUGAGGCUCUAGAGGAAAAUCUACUUCCUUGUUUUCCAGAUUCUAGAAGCUACCCACAUUCUUCAGCUCAUGGCCUCUUUCCUCCAUCUCUAGCCAGCAAGGUUCUGGGGAUUAUGACAUGGACAUCUUUCAGGGGACAUUAUUCUGCACCAUACCCAAUGAAAAUAUCCUUCAGGAAUGAAGGGAAAAUCAAGACAUUCCCAAUGAAGGAAAACUAAGAGAAUUUGUCACCAGCAGACCUACCCUAAAUGAAUGGCUAAAGGAAGUUCUUUAAGAGGAAAGGAAAUGAUGAAAUAAAAACUCUUGGAACGUCAUGAAAGAAGAAGGAAUACAGUAAGCAAAAGUAUGGAUAAAUAUAAUAGGCUUGAGUUUUCCAAAAUAUGUUUGAUGCUUGAAGCAAAAUCAUACCACUGUUUGUGUUUUGGAAUAAGCAUUAGCUAAAAGCAUGAAACCUGGAUUUGAAUCACAGUUUUCCCACUAGUUAGUUAUAUUCACCAUCUGUGAGUUGCAGUAACUUUGGCCUGACACCUCAUUCUCCAGUUUACAACCUGAGGGGAUGGAACUCAUCAGUUCUCUAAAAGGCCUCUAUCUCUAAAAUCUAUGAUGUUCAGCUGUGACUCUCAUGUGGCAAGUGUCAAAUGCCCUGUAUAAAAGCCAGUCUUAUACGACAUUUUAAUUUAAUAAUUCAGUAAGUAUGUAUUAAGCACAAGUCCCUAUGCUAAUUCCCUAAUUCCUUAUUAUCUACACUGGUACAAGGCAUUUACCCUGAUACUUACAUUACCUUUAAAUCCUCUCACAGGGUUUACCUUACCUAUCCCUCCACCACUGCCACACACAUACACUUCCUGCCCUUAGGAGCGUUCUAAACCAGGCUGCCCCCACCCAGCCUUCCAACCUGACUUCCACUGAGACCUUUACUACAGUCAUUGAUUCUAAAAAGUAUUACUUCAAGAAAAUGAGAAUAAAAGCCACAGACUGAGAGAAAAUAUUUGCAAAACAUAUAUCUGAUAAAGGACUGGUAUCCAAAAUAUACAGAGCACUCUUGAAACUCAGCAGUAAGAAAAAAAUCCAAUUUAAAAAUGGGCAAAAGAUCUGCACACCUUACCAAAGAAGAUAUACAGAUAGCAAAGAAGCAUAUGAAAAGAUGCUCGACAUCAUAUGUCAUUGGGGGAUUGCAAAUUAAAACAACAAUAAGAUACCACUACACAACUGCUAGAAUGGCCAAAAUCUAAAAUUCUGAGAACGUCAAAUGCCGGUGAGGUUGUGGAGCAACAGGAACUCUCAUUCACUGCUGGUGGGAAUGCAACAUAGUCCAGACACUGUAGACAGUUUGGAAGUUUCUUACAAAACUAAAUAAACUCUUACCAUGAGAUUCAGUAAUCAUGCUCCUUGGUAUUAACCCAAAGGAGUCGAAAACAUUUAUCCACACAAAACCCUGCCAAUGAAUGUUUAUAUAGGAGCUUUAUUCAUAAUUGCCAAAACUUGGAAGCAACCAAGAUGCCCCUGAGUAGGUGAAUAGAUAAACAAACUGUGACAAAUUUAUAUAAUGGAAUAUUAUUCAGUGAUAAAAAGAAAUGAGUUUAAAAAGGAAAGAGAAAGAAAUAAGCUAUCAAGACACAAAAAGACAUGGAAGAACCUUAAAAUGCAUAUUGCUAAGUGAAAGACGCCAAUCUGAAAAGGUACCAUACUGUGUGACUCCAACCAUAUGACAUUCUGGAAAAGGCAAAACUGUGGAGACAGUAAAAAGAUCCAUGGAUUCGGGGGAUGGAGUGGACAGGGGAUGAACAUGUGGAGCACAGGGGGGUUUUAGGGCAGCAAAACUAUUCUAUAUGAUACUGUAAUGAUGGAUAUAUGUCAUCAUACGUUUGUCAAAACCCGUAGAAUGUACAACACCAACAGUGAACCCUACUGUCAACUAUGGACUUUAGUUAAUAACAAUGUAUCAAUAUUGAUUCAUCAACUGUACCAAAUGUAACCACACUAAAACAAGAUGUGAAUGAUACAGGAAAUGGAGAGAGGGAGGAGGGGGUAUAUGUAAACUCUGUACUUUCUGCUCAUUUUCUGUAAACCUACAACUGCUCUAAAAAAAAUAAGUAGUCAAAAAUUAUUAAAUAGCAAAACAAAUAAAUAUAUCAAAAAUGUAGUUCUGUGAAAAAUUAAGAAAAUAAACCACUAGCAAACCUAGUUAAGGGGGAAAAAUUAACACAAAAAAUAAAAAUAACAAUGAAGAAAUAAUCAUAGAAACAAAGGAAGUUUUUUUCAAAAACAUUUAUGAGACUAUUUCACAUAACUCUUUUGUCGCAGGUUGCGUUCCUUGGGAAGCAAACUAAUAUGGAAAUUUGCAUGCACAAAGUUUACUUGGGACUGCCUUCAGGAUCAACGUCUGUGGGAGAACAAAGAAAGUAGGAUUGCGCAAAGAGAGGAUUUGAACUCAACAAUUCAACUUCAUAAGAAUUCAAAAAGAAAAAAACCUCUUAUUUGCAGGGCACUUAUUGUCUAUGUACACUCUUUCCCCCUUCCCACCUCCCCAAAGGAUAUACGGAUAAAUUAGUAGAAUUAAUAAGAGAGCUUAAUAAGGUUUUGGAAACAAAUCAAUAAGUAAAAAUCAACUUUAUUUCUAUGCACUGGCAAAAAUCAAAGGCUAUAGUAGAAAAAAAAGAAAGGUAACACAUAACAGCAAGAAAAAAUAUAAAAUACUAGAAUUAAUUCCAGCAGAAGAUGUGUAAGACUUUUAGGGAGAAAACUAAAAUUUUAUUUGAAGACAUUAAAGAAAAUCUAAAUAAAUAGAGUAUUCUUCUAUAGGAAAUUCCCCAAACUCAAUAUUGAUCCUCAUUAAGAACUUUUAAUUUAUUGAACAGGCUGAUUCUAAAAUGCUCUUGAUAGAGCAAGGAGCCAAUCAUAGUUAAGAUAAUCGUGAGGAAAAACGAGGUGAGAGCAUUUACUUCAUCAGACAUCAGGACUUAAAACAAUAUGGUAUUCAGUGCAAGGAU